GAUGAACGCUGGCGGCGUGCUUAACACAUGCAAGUCGAACGGAAAGACCCUGCUUUUGUGGGGUGCUCGAUUGGCGAAGGGGGGAGUAACACGUGAGUAACCUGCCCUUGACUUUGGGAUAACUUCAGGAAACUGGGGCUAAUAUAGGAUAGGAGCUCCUGCUGCGUGGUGGGGGUUGGAAAGUUUCGGCUGUUGGGGAUGGUCUCGCGGCUUAUCAGCUUGUUGGUGGGGUAGGGGCUUACCAAGUCUUAGACGGGUAGGCGGCCUGGGAGCGUGACCGGGCACAUUGGUCCUGCGGUACGCCGCAGUCGCCUACGUUCGGCAGCAGGCGGGAGCCUGGCACAGUGGGCCGACGCCUGAGGCAGCGGCGCCGCGUGCGUGAUGACGUCCUUCGGGUUGUGAACCGCUGUCGCCUGUGACGAAGCGGGAGUGACGGUAAUGGGUAAAGAAGCACCGGCUAACUACGUG
Molecule: ribosomal RNA, 468 nt
Filed under: uncultured bacterium
Lineage: Bacteria
Description: partial 16S ribosomal RNA
Rfam family: Bacterial small subunit ribosomal RNA
Source: RNAcentral